This 578-nucleotide ribosomal RNA is filed under the name uncultured Actinomycetes bacterium. Its description in RNAcentral is "bacterial SSU rRNA". It matches the Rfam family "Bacterial small subunit ribosomal RNA", at positions 9 to 589 of the family's 1533-position model. The record is from RNAcentral. Lineage: Bacteria; Bacillati; Actinomycetota; Actinomycetes.
GAGUUUGAUCCUGGCUCAGGAUGAACGCUGGCGGCGUGCUUAAUGCAUGCAAGUCGAACGAGAACCCCUCUUUAGGUAACUAUCGAGGGACUUCUAGUGGCGAACGAGUGAGUAACACGUGAGCAACCUGCCCCAAAGACCGGGAUAGCCCAUGGAAACGUGGAUUAAUACCGGAUGCCCUCGCGGAACCGCAUGAUUCUGUGAGGAAAUGCUCCGGCGCCUUGGGAUGGGCUCGCGGCCUAUCAGCUUGUUGGUGAGGUAAUGGCUCACCAAGGCACUGACGGGUAGCUGGUCUGAGAGGACGAUCAGCCACACUGGGACUGAGACACGGCCCAGACUCCUACGGGAGGCAGCAGCAGGGAAUAUUGCACAAUGGGCGCAAGCCUGAUGCAGCGACGCCGCGUGAGGGAUGAAGGCUUUCGGGUUGUAAACCUCUUUCAGUGGGGAAGAAGCGCAAGUGACGGUACCCACACAAGAAGGCCCGGCCAACUACGUGCCAGCAACCGCGGUAAUACGUAGGGGCCAAGCGUUAUCCGGAUUUAUUGGGCGUAAAGAGCUCGUAGGCGGCUUGGUAAGUC